RNAcentral lists this ribosomal RNA (459 nucleotides) under uncultured bacterium. RNAcentral describes it as "partial 16S ribosomal RNA". It matches the Rfam family "Bacterial small subunit ribosomal RNA", at positions 338 to 795 of the family's 1533-position model. The record is from RNAcentral.
CCUACGGGUGGCAGCAGUGAGGAAUAUUGGUCAAUGGUCGGGAGACUGAACCAGCCAAGCCGCGUGAGGGAGGAAGGUACAGAGUAUCGUAAACCUCUUUUGUCAGGGAACAAAGGCGGGGACGUGUCCCCGGAUGAGUGUACCUGAAGAAAAAGCAUCGGCUAACUCCGUGCCAGCAGCCGCGGUAAUACGGAGGAUGCGAGCGUUAUCCGGAUUUAUUGGGUUUAAAGGGUGGGCAGGGGGUCUGUUAAGUCAGCGGGCAAAGCCCGGGGCUCAACCCCGGCCCGCCGUUGAAACUGGCAGUCUCGAGUUGGAGAGAGGUAUGCGGAAUUCGUGGUGUAGCGGUGAAAUGCUUAGAUAUCACGAAGAACUCCGAUGGCGAAGGCAGCUCACUGGACUGCAACUGACACUGAGGCUCGAAAGUGUGGGUAUCAAACAGGAUUAGAUACCCGGGUAGUC